Molecule: ribosomal RNA, 497 nt
Filed under: uncultured bacterium
Lineage: Bacteria
Description: partial 16S ribosomal RNA
Rfam family: Bacterial small subunit ribosomal RNA
Source: RNAcentral
GAUUAACGCUGGCGGCGUGCCUAAUACAUGCAAGUCGAGCGAACGGACGAGAAUCUUGCUUCUCUGAUGUUUGCGGCUGGCGUGUGGGUGACACGUGGAUAACCUCCCUAUAAGACUGCGAUGACUUAGGGAAUCCGGAGCUGAUACGGGGUAAUAUUUUCAACCACAUGAUUCAAAAUUAAAAGACGGUCUUGCUGUCUCUUAUACAUUGAUCCGCGCUGCAUUAGCUAGUUGGUAAGGUAACGGCGUCCCAUGGCAACGAUGCAUAGCAGACCUGAGAGGGUGAUCGGCCACACUGGAACUGAGACACGGUCCAGACUCCUACGGGAGGCAGAAGUAGGGAAUCUUCCGCAAUGGGCGAAAGCCUGACGGAGCAACGCCGCGUGAGUGACGAAGGCAGUCGGAUCGUAAAACUCUGUUAUUAGGGAAGAACAUAAGUGUAAGUAACUGGGCACAACUUGACGGUACCUAACCAGAAAGCCACGGCUAAUUACGUG